RNAcentral lists this transfer RNA (68 nucleotides) under Onthophagus cf. jeannelianus. RNAcentral's name for it is "tRNA-Asp". The record is from RNAcentral. Lineage: Eukaryota; Metazoa; Arthropoda; Insecta; Coleoptera; Scarabaeidae.
AAAAAUUUAGUUAAUGUUAUAACAUUAGUUUGUCAAACUAAAAUAAUUUUAAAAUAAAAUAAUUUUUA